RNAcentral lists this long non-coding RNA (1408 nucleotides) under Olea europaea subsp. europaea. The record is from RNAcentral. Lineage: Eukaryota; Viridiplantae; Streptophyta; Magnoliopsida; Lamiales; Oleaceae.
CCCAAUACCACUUCUAAUAUCAGUGCGAAUCCGUCGUUACAACUUUACCAAAAACUCUUUUAUCUAUUAGCCUAUACAAAUUGCUAAUCUCUUUACGUUUCAUUAUCAUCGAAGAAUUUCUUUCACAUUCAUCGUACCGGCAAGUGAAUAUGUUUAGCGCUCCCAACGAUAUUGAACAUUGCUUUAGUCUUGGGAAUUCCAAGAUUUUCUAGCACUUUAUGGAAUUAUUGGAGGUUGGUCAAUUGUAGGGGUAUGAAAAUGGGCUAAGUCGAGAAUGGGAAUGUUGAUAUCAAGUGUUCGAGACAACAUUGUUGGUAGAAAGGAACAUAUUUGGCGUUGGAGGGGUGUGCCAAAAUCUUUGGAGGGAGGUAAUGUUAAUAAUUACAAACCCUAAUUCUAUCCCAUCAAGAUCAAUCAAUUUGAAAAAAAAUAAAUAAACAAUUAAGAAUAGACAAGAUUUAUGGAGGUUUGUUUCAAUGUGAAACGAUGUCAUCUCCCGCCGCUGUAGUAAUUCAAUAUGAUAAAAGAAUGUUUAUAAGAGAAAAUAUUAAUCAUAUCUACCCUAACAUUUCUUUCUCUCUAUUUGAUGGAAAUACUUAAAGCCUAAAGAUGGUUCCCUAUAAAUAUAAGAUAAAUUAUGGCAAAAUCGAGUUUUACAAGGACUCCUAUUUCUUUAUAUAGUUUUACAAAAAUACAAAUUCCUAAAAACUCCAUAAACGAUCUGCAACCAACUUUGCGAAGUGACAAUAACUAUGCUCAAUAAAAAAAAAAAAAAAUGAAAAAGAAAGGAAAAUUUGUACUUACAUUAAUCCCUUCCUUUCUGCAGAAUGUAUUACAUCAAAAUCAGAGGAAAAAGUUGAAUAAAAAGAAAAAAAAAAACUAAAGUGCAUCACCGUUACUCCGGCGGCAUAAUGGACAAGUCCGAUUAAUUUCCAACCAUAUUUUGAUACAAUCAAAAUGAAAUAUAUGGUUGCACACCGGAAGACGCCCUAACAGUUCCCGGUUUUCGUAUUCCGCUAGACAGAUAGAGCAUUCACGUUCCCCAUCUGCAGCUUCUUCGACAUAAACAUCGAUUACUACUUCAUACUUCUUCCCUUCCUCCUUCGUCUGGGAUCGCGUUGAAUUCUGUGCACCUGGUGGCGGGCUUGGUGGCGCUGCAUGUGGUGGAAGACGGUUUAGGACUGGCGCGGCUGCCGAUGUUGGAUGGUAUAGGAGCGGUAUAAUGCGAACUGACGGUGGAGGACGGUUUACGACUGGCAGCUCCAAUACUGUCUCCUCAUGCGGUGAAUUAUCACUAUUCUUAAAACAUGCUGACACAAUAAACACCACAAGAGAUAUUAUAAUUUCUAUGACAAAUAAGGCAAUUAAAGACGACAUGUUUAAAGGAGGAAGAAGAGGAAAGAGAGAG